RNAcentral lists this microRNA (23 nucleotides) under Pristionchus pacificus. Its description in RNAcentral is "ppc-miR-8347-3p". The record is from miRBase by way of RNAcentral. Lineage: Eukaryota; Metazoa; Nematoda; Chromadorea; Rhabditida; Neodiplogasteridae.
UCGAAUCGUACCAAGUAGCCGGC